This 373-nucleotide unclassified non-coding RNA is filed under the name plant metagenome. Its description in RNAcentral is "partial contains 5.8S ribosomal RNA, internal transcribed spacer 2, and large subunit ribosomal RNA". The stretch from base 1 to 100 matches the Rfam family "5.8S ribosomal RNA", at positions 55 to 154 of the family's 154-position model. The record is from RNAcentral.
GCGAUAAGUAAUGUGAAUUGCAGAAUUCAGUGAAUCAUCGAAUCUUUGAACGCACCUUGCGCUCCUUGGUAUUCCUUGGAGCAUGCCUGUUUGAGUAUCAUGAAAUCUUCAAAGUAAAUCUUUUGUUAACUCAAUUGGUUUCUACUUUGGUAUUGGAGGUCUUUGCAGCUUCACACCUGCUCCUCUUUGUUCAUUAGCUGGAUCUCAGUGUUAUGCUUGGUUCCACUCGGCGUGAUAAGUUAUCUAUCGCUGAGGACACUGUAAAAGGUGGCCAAGGUAAAUGCAGAUGAACCGCUUCUAAUAGUCCAUUGACUUGGACAAUACCUUUAUGAUCUGAUCUCAAAUCAGGUAGAACUACCCGCUGAACUUAAGC